GCCCAGACUCCUACGGGAGGCAGCAGUGGGGAAUAUUGCACAAUGGGGGAAACCCUGAUGCAGCAACGCCGCGUGAGUGAGGAAGUAUUUCGGUAUGUAAAGCUCUAUCAGCAGGGAAUAGAAAAGAAGGUACCUGAAAAAGAAGCCCCGGCUAACUACGUGCCAGCAGCCGCGGUAAUACGUAGGGGGCAAGCGUCAUCCGGAUUUAUUGGGUUUAAAGGGUGCGUAGGCGGAUCGUUAAGUCAGUGGUAAAUAUGGGGGACUCACCCCUUAACCGCCAUUGAAACUGGCGAUCUUGAGUGGAAGAGAAGUAUGCGGAAUGCGUGGUGUAGCGGUGAAAUGCAUAGAUAUCACGCAGAACACCGAUUGCGAAGGCAGCAUGCCGGCUUCCAACUGACGCUGAAGCACGUAAGCGUGGGUAUCGAACAGGAUUAGAUACCCCAGUA
RNAcentral lists this ribosomal RNA (446 nucleotides) under uncultured bacterium. Its description in RNAcentral is "partial 16S ribosomal RNA". It matches the Rfam family "Bacterial small subunit ribosomal RNA", at positions 329 to 792 of the family's 1533-position model. The record is from RNAcentral.